GUGCUCACUUUGCUAGCACAUAUAUAACAAAUAGAACGAUACAGAGAUUAGCAUGGUCUCUGCACAAGGAUGAUCACAAAUUCAUGAAGCAUUCCGUAUUAAA
Molecule: small nuclear RNA, 103 nt
Organism: Ochotona princeps (American pika)
Lineage: Eukaryota; Metazoa; Chordata; Mammalia; Lagomorpha; Ochotonidae
Source: RefSeq, a predicted model, not a curated record